This is a long non-coding RNA of Anguilla rostrata (American eel), 283 nucleotides long. RefSeq lists it as uncharacterized. Lineage: Eukaryota; Metazoa; Chordata; Actinopteri; Anguilliformes; Anguillidae. The record is from RefSeq and is a predicted model, not a curated record. The transcript has 3 exons.
GACGGCUGAGUACUAGGAAGCGUACCUACCUAAAGCGCAAUGAAGUAAUUACAGAGAGUGUUGCAUACCGGACACGUUUCAAGAACAAGACUUCAGGUUGCUACAAAAUCUGAUGUUUCCACUGGACAGGUUGAUGUCCCAGAACAGAAAAGACUAAAGACUCUAAAGAAAGGCCCCAUCGGGCCCCAGCGGGCCCCAGCGGCGAAUGGCGGCUUCACACUGACCUACUCGCAGCUCCUGGCCGAAGACGGUCCUCUCGCCCAGGGCGGAGCAGUUCCAGCGG